GAUGAACGCUAGCGGCAGGCCUAAUACAUGCAAGUCGAGCGGCAAGUUGAGAAGCAAUUCGAGACCUAGAGCGGCGUACGGGUGCGUGACGCGUAUGCAACCUACCUCAUACAGGGGGAUAGCCCGGAGAAAUCUGGAUUAAUACCCCAUGGUACAUAUUGAAGGCAUCUGAGAUAUGUUAAAGAUUCAUCGGUAUGAGAGGGGCAUGCGUCUGAUUAGCUAGUUGGCGGUGUAACGGACCACCAAGGCGACGAUCAGUAGGGGUUCUGAGAGGAAGGUCCCCCACACUGGCACUGUGAUACGGGCCAGACUCCUACGGGAGGCAGCAGUAGGGAAUAUUGGGCAAUGGUCGGAAGACUGACCAGCCAUGCCGCGUGCAGGAAGACGGCGUUCUGCGUUGUAAACUGCUUUUAUCUGGGAAGAAAAGGCCCAUGCGUGGGACAUUGCCGGUACCAGAUGAAUAAGCACCGGCUAACUCCGUGCCAGCCGCCGCAGUAA
Molecule: ribosomal RNA, 498 nt
Filed under: uncultured bacterium
Lineage: Bacteria
Description: partial 16S ribosomal RNA
Rfam family: Bacterial small subunit ribosomal RNA
Source: RNAcentral